AUUGAACGCUGGCGGCAGGCUUAACACAUGCAAGUCGAGCGAGCGGCGGACGGGUGAGUAAUGGCUGGGAAAACGCCUGAUGGAGGGGGAUAACUACUGGAAACGGUAGCUAAUACCGCAUACCAUCAGAUGUGCCCGGAUGGGAUUAGCUAGGAGGUGGGGUAAUGGCUCACCUAGGCGACGGUCCCUAGCUGGUCUGAGAGGAUGACUAGCCAGACUGGAACUGAGAGAGGGUCCCGACUCCGAAGCGAGGCAGCAGUGGGGAAUAUUGCGCAAGGGGGGCAAGCCUGAUGCAGCCAUGCCGCGUGUAUGAAGAAGGCCUUCGGGUGGGAAAGUACUGUCAGCGGGGAGGCGUUACCCGCAGAAGAAGCACCGGCUAACUCCGUGCCAGCAGCCGCGGUAAUAC
Molecule: ribosomal RNA, 406 nt
Filed under: uncultured bacterium
Lineage: Bacteria
Description: partial 16S ribosomal RNA
Rfam family: Bacterial small subunit ribosomal RNA
Source: RNAcentral